This is a long non-coding RNA of Jatropha curcas, 825 nucleotides long. RefSeq annotates it as small ribosomal subunit protein bTHXc. The record is from RefSeq and is a predicted model, not a curated record. Lineage: Eukaryota; Viridiplantae; Streptophyta; Magnoliopsida; Malpighiales; Euphorbiaceae.
AAGACUAAAAGACUAAAACACCCGUGCCUAACAAUCCUUUUGUCAAAGAACUGUUCUAACCCAAACACAAUAAGCAACUGAAAAAAAAAAAAAUCAAAACUGAAAAAAAAAAAAAAUCAAAGAAUCAAACGAUAAGUUGCUGGAAAUUCAUAAGGCUCAACUCUUCUCAAGUCUGAGCAAGGACCUUAUCCUCGAAGCUCAGCGAUGGCGUCGUUAAUAGCGAGAGCUCCACCGAUGAUUCCUCAAUCACUGAACUCACCUUCUCGCUUAUCGUCGUCUCAAUCCGAAAACCUAGGCAUUUCUCUUUCCUAUUCAACACCAACUCCUUCCCUUUCUCUCUCUACCACUUCCUCUUCUCCAGUCCCAUUUGUGUAUUGCGGAAGAGGAGACAGGAAGACCGCGAAGGGGAAGCGAUUCAACCAUUCAACCAUUCGAUACCAGUUCCUUCUGUUAUGAUUAGCAUUUCUGCAUAUAUUGCAAGUCUCACAAAUGCGUUGGCUUACUGUCAUGAGAAAGAUGUGAUUCACAGAGAUAUCAAGCCAGAAAAUUUAUUGCUUGAUCAUGAGGGCCGACUGAAGAUUGCUGAUUUUGAGUCGUCUGUGCAAUCUAGGAGCAAGAGGCACACAAGAGACAGAAUAAGGGCAUUCUUCGUCAUUAUAAAAUGUUUGCCUUUGUUUUGUACUGAUUUUAACGGAAAAAAAUCAAUUUUUUGAAACGGAAGGACCUUUUAAUUAGACGGAGUUAAACCUGAGGGACUAGUUAGAUAUUUGUGCAAAACUUGAGAUUAGUUGGUUAAUUAUGUAAAAUCUGAGGGACUAAAUAAUA